AGCGAACGCUGGCGGCAGGCUUAACACAUGCAAGUCGAGCGGGCAUCCUUGUGGUGUCAGCGGCAGACGGGUGAGUAACGCGUGGGAACGUGCCCUUCGGUUCGGAAUAACUCAGGGAAACUUGAGCUAAUACCGGAUACGUGCGAGAGCAGAAAGGUUUAUCUGCCGAAGGAUCGGCCCGCGUCUGAUUAGCUAGUUGGUGAGGUUACGGCUCACCAAGGCGACGAUCAGUAGCUGGUCUGAGAGGAUGAUCAGCCACACUGGGACUGAGACACGGCCCAGGCUCCUACGGGAGGCAGCAGUGGGGAAUAUUGGACAAUGGGGGCAACCCUGAUCCAGCCAUGCCGCGUGAGUGAUGACGGCCUUAGGGUUGUAAAGCUCUUUUCUCCGGGACGAUAAUGACGGUACCGGAGGAAUAAGCCCCGGCUAACUUCGUG
This 437-nucleotide ribosomal RNA is filed under the name uncultured bacterium. Its description in RNAcentral is "partial 16S ribosomal RNA". It matches the Rfam family "Bacterial small subunit ribosomal RNA", at positions 29 to 507 of the family's 1533-position model. The record is from RNAcentral.